This 357-nucleotide unclassified non-coding RNA is filed under the name uncultured Russula. RNAcentral describes it as "sequence contains ITS2". The record is from RNAcentral. Lineage: Eukaryota; Fungi; Basidiomycota; Agaricomycetes; Russulales; Russulaceae.
AACGCACCUUGCGCCCCUUGGCAUUCCGAGGGGCACACCCGUUUGAGUGUCGUGAAAUCCUCAAAACCUUUUUCUUUGACGAGAAAAGGAGUUUUGGACUUGGAGGUUCAAUGCCCGCUUUCGGCAUCGAAAGCGAGCUCCUCUCAAAUGAAUCAGUGGGGUCCGCUUUGCUGGUCCUUGACGUGAUAAGAUGUUUCUACGUUUUGGAUCUGGCACUGUCCCUUGGAUGCCCGCUUCUAACCGUCUCAUAGACAACGAUGGUGCCCCGGUCACCUCCGUCCACGUUGGCGGGGGAGGCUUGGCCCACGACAAAAAAACCUUGACCUCAAAUCGGGUGAGACUACCCGCUGAACUUAA